RNAcentral lists this ribosomal RNA (253 nucleotides) under uncultured bacterium. Its description in RNAcentral is "partial 16S ribosomal RNA". It matches the Rfam family "Bacterial small subunit ribosomal RNA", at positions 524 to 776 of the family's 1533-position model. The record is from RNAcentral.
UACAGAGGAUGCAAGCGUUAUCCGGAAUGAUUGGGCGUAAAGCGUCUGUAGGUGGCUUUUUAAGUCCGCCGUCAAAUCCCAGGGCUCAACUCUGGACAGGCGGUGGAAACUACCAAGCUGGAGUACGGUAGGGGCAGAGGGAAUUUCCGGUGGAGCGGUGAAAUGCGUAGAGAUCGGAAAGAACAUCAGUGGCGAAGGCGACCACCUGGACUGUCACAGACGCUGAGGCGCGAAAGCGUGGGGAGCAAACAGG